RNAcentral lists this ribosomal RNA (357 nucleotides) under Stylocheiron abbreviatum. Its description in RNAcentral is "bacterial SSU rRNA". It matches the Rfam family "Eukaryotic small subunit ribosomal RNA", at positions 37 to 371 of the family's 1831-position model. Lineage: Eukaryota; Metazoa; Arthropoda; Malacostraca; Euphausiacea; Euphausiidae. The record is from RNAcentral.
UCAAAGAUUAAGCCAUGCAUGUCUAAGUACAGGCCUAAGGAAGGCGAAACCGCGAAUGGCUCAUUAAAUCAGUUAUGGUUCAUUGGAUCCUACCCUUUCUUACUUGGAUAACUGUGGUAAUUCUAGAGCUAAUACAUGCCGACCAGUAGCUCCGACGCGCCCCCGCGUGGAAGAGCGCUUUUAUUAGAUCAAAACCCGUCCUCCCCCGGGAGGUCAAACCCCCUCAGUGGUGACUCUGAAUAACUUUUAGCUGAGCGCACGGCCCCCGCGCCGGCGCCGCAUCUUUCAAGUGUCUGCCUUAUCAGCUCUCGAUUGUAGGUUAUGCGCCUACAAUGGCUAUAACGGGUAACGGGAAUC